CAAGUCUUUGCAGAAAACGAUAUCACCAAGCUGAAGGUCCCCAAUUAUGAAAAAAUGGAGUUUGAUGAACCGUACUCUAGUUUUCUGAGCCGCCUGGAGAUGAGCCAUGAAAUGCAAAAGAGCUUGGCCAACAUGAUGCGAAUAAAACAUGAGGUGUGAUAUAUUUUAACCUUCUUGACAUGUCCUCCCAUUAUCCCUCCAAAGGGCGAGUCAUCCAUGACG
This 222-nucleotide long non-coding RNA is filed under the name Hordeum vulgare. RNAcentral's name for it is "long non-coding RNA (HVUL_LNC019274)". The record is from RNAcentral. Lineage: Eukaryota; Viridiplantae; Streptophyta; Magnoliopsida; Poales; Poaceae.